Molecule: ribosomal RNA, 466 nt
Filed under: uncultured bacterium
Lineage: Bacteria
Description: partial 16S ribosomal RNA
Rfam family: Bacterial small subunit ribosomal RNA
Source: RNAcentral
AUGAACGCUGGCGGCGUGCUUAACACCUGCAAGUCGAACGGAAAGGCCAGUGCUUGCACUGGUGCUCGGGUGGCGAACGGGUGAGUAACACGUGGGUGAUCUGCCCUGCACUUUGGGAUAAGCCUGGGAAACUGGGUCUAAUACCAGAUAGGACCAUGCUUUGGAUGGUGUGGUGGAAAGUUUUUUCGGUGUGGGAUGAGCUUGCGGCCUAUCAGCUUGUUGGUGGGGUAAUGGCCUACCAAGGCGUCGACGGGUAGCCGGCCUGAGAGGGUGUACGGCCACAUUGGGACUGAGAUACGGCCCAGACUCCUACGGGAGGCAGCAGUGGGGAAUAUUGCACAAUGGGCGCAAGCCUGAUGCAGCGACGCCGCGUGGGGGAUGACGGCCUUCGGGUUGUAAACUCCUUUCGCAACUGACGAAGCUUUUUGUGACGGUAGGUUGAGAAGAAGCACCGGCUAACUACGUG